GGAGGCGCGGUCCUUCCAGCCUCUUGCUCCUGUGAAUCACAGGUCGGCGGGAGCCUUUUUUCCUUUUUUUUUUUUUUUUUUUCCGGGGAGUCGGCCUCGGGGCUCUGCUCUCCUACCUCAGUCUGCCCUACACUGGAAUGGGGAAAAUGCGGACAUGCUACUCAGUCCGGCCGCGAACAGUGCUCCAGAACUCAGAGAGUUUUCCAGACGGGUGGAGAUCGCGUUCCCUGCCCGCGGAGGUCCCAUCGCUUCCCUACUGGGAAGACAAAUGAGGCGCUUUAGCCGUCUCCACGGCCAGCCCCUCCCUCAUAACCCGAGAUUCCUUGUGGGCUCUUAGUCCAUAACUGCCUUUGAGGUGGUGUAGACCUUGCUAACCAGGACGGCCCAGUAGGCAGAGCUCAUUUUUAUUCCUGUCUGCAAUCGUGCAAAAACGCCUCUUAUGGAAGAGGCAGAGCGCCAGGAGUCAGCAAAACACACUAAAGAUUGGGCAGACACUGGGGAGAACAUGGCCUGAAGCAACUGAAGAUCCACAAAAGAAGUGAAAAUAGCCUUAACUGAUGAUAUUCCACCAUUGUGAUUUGUUCCUGCCCCACCCUAACUGAUACGAUAUAUUCUCCCCCGCCCUUAAGAAGACUCAGCCCGCCUGCACCCAGGUGAAAUAUACAGCCUUGUUGCUCACACAAAGCCUAUUUGGUGGUUUCUUCACACAGACGCAUGUGACAUUUGGUGCUGAAGACCCAGGACAGGAGGACUCCUUUGGGAGACCAGUCCCCUGUUAUCGCCCUCACUCCGUGAGGAGAUCCACCUAUGAUCUCAGGUCCUCAGACCAACCAGCCCAAGGAACAUCUCACCAAUUUCAAAUAGGAUAGAAGUGUGAGGCCUCUGAGUCCAAGCUAAGCCAUCACAUCCCCUGUGACCUGCACAUGUACAUCCAGAUGACCUGAAGCAACUGAAGAUCCACAAAAGAAGUGAAAAUAGCCUUAACUGAUGACAUUCCACCAUUGUGAUUUGUUCUUGCCCCACCCUAACUGAUACUAUAUAUUCUCCCCCCCGCCCUUGAGAAUGUACUUUGUACGCCUAUCCCAAAUCUAUAAGAACUGAUGAUAAUCCCACCACCCUUUGCUGACUCUCUUUUUGGACUCAGCCCGCCUGCACCCAGGUGAAAUAAACAGCCCUGUUGCUCACACAAA
This 1190-nucleotide long non-coding RNA is filed under the name Pongo abelii (Sumatran orangutan). RNAcentral's name for it is "lincRNA". Lineage: Eukaryota; Metazoa; Chordata; Mammalia; Primates; Hominidae. The record is from RNAcentral.